UCAGCAGGGGCUUCGCCGUCGUAGUCCGG
This 29-nucleotide small RNA is filed under the name Bombyx mori (domestic silkworm). RNAcentral's name for it is "ovarian small RNA-25666". The record is from RNAcentral. Lineage: Eukaryota; Metazoa; Arthropoda; Insecta; Lepidoptera; Bombycidae.